CCCUAGUCCUGGCAGUGAGAAAUGGACCUCUGCAAGAAGAUUGACUCAAAGUUGUUCCUGAUCAUGGACUUCAAAUGGGCCUGGGUUUGAAGCAGAUGAUCUCCAGAGGCCUCUUCCAACUCUCACCAUUCUGUGAAUCCAUGACUGUGUUCUGCUUGGAGGUCAGACACCCACCUGCCUUUCAAGAUCUUCUUGCCUGAGGACUCUGUUGCUGGAGGAUGCAGCAUUAGGGCAGCAGAACUUCUGUGUCGUCCUCUCUAGUGGCAGAAAGAAUCUGGCCAGAAUGUUUUGAGUUGGAAAGGCCCUUUAUAGGUCAUCUAGUCCGACAUCUCUCCAGUCAGCAGGGACUAGAGAAGGCUGCUCAGAGCUCCAAACAACCAGACCUGGAAGGCUUCCAGAGAUGGGACAUCUACCACUUCCCUGGGCAACUUGGGUUGCAGUUUCACCACCCUCAGCAUAAAAAAUUUCUU
This is a long non-coding RNA of Pogoniulus pusillus (Red-fronted tinkerbird), 470 nucleotides long. RefSeq lists it as uncharacterized. The transcript has 3 exons. NCBI's taxonomy places the organism in Eukaryota, Metazoa, Chordata, Aves, Piciformes, Lybiidae. The record is from RefSeq and is a predicted model, not a curated record.